This 88-nucleotide transfer RNA is filed under the name bacterium. Its description in RNAcentral is "tRNA-Ser". It matches the Rfam family "tRNA". Rfam says of the family: Transfer RNA (tRNA) molecules are approximately 80 nucleotides in length. The record is from RNAcentral.
GGAAGAAUGGCAGAGUGGCUUAUUGCGUUGUCUUGCUAAGGCAAAGGGUGUAACAGCUCCGUUGGUUCAAAUCCAACUUCUUCCUCCA